This 230-nucleotide ribosomal RNA is filed under the name uncultured bacterium. Its description in RNAcentral is "partial 16S ribosomal RNA". It matches the Rfam family "Bacterial small subunit ribosomal RNA", at positions 562 to 791 of the family's 1533-position model. The record is from RNAcentral.
AAAGCGUGCGCAGGCGGUUAUGUAAGACAGAUGUGAAAUCCCCGGGCUCAACCUGGGAACUGCAUUAGUGACUGCAUAGCUGGAGUACGGCAGAGGGGGAUGGAAUUCUGCGUGUAGCAGUGAAAUGCGUAGAUAUGCGGAGGAACACCGAUGGCGAAGGCAAUCCCCUGGGCCUGUACUGACGCUCAUGCACGAAAGCGUGGGGAGCAAACAGGAUUAGAUACCCUGGU